CGGCAGCGCCGUUUAUUUUAUUUUUAUUUUUUUGCUUGGAACCUCUCCCGAGCCCUUGCGGACGGCCACCUCCUCCCCGCUCUGCUCGCCGUCACCUUCCGUCGGUCUCCACCGUCGCCUCCUCCCCAUCAUCACAGGCGUCGGCCUUCCGCUUCAAGGGUGCUUUUCUUCACACAGAUCUCCGAAAAAGAGAGACGCCGACUUCUUCCCUUCUCUCUUCGCCGCCACCUCCCACCGGUCUCCACCGUCGUCUUCGUCACCGGCGUCGGCCUUCCCCCCGAUCUCCUUCAGCCCUAUAAUCUUGAGGGGAUGAUCACUUGAUACGAUCCAAUCCCAAUGUACCCUCUGUGAAGUUAGACAAGAAGAGAAAUCAAGGAAGCGGAGAGCUAAAAACCUAAACCCUAAUCUUUCACCAUUGAUUGAAGAAGGUGAAGAUGCCGGAGGUGCGGAUUGUGGCGAAGAAUUUCAUGGACAUGGUGGCAGCACUGCCGGCCAUGAAACUCGACAAGCUCUAUGGCAGCACCUUCAUCUGUGAAGCCGUCCUCAGGUCUUUGCCUCCUCUGGCUAAGAAGUAUGUUUUGCAAAUGCUAUUCGUUGAUUCCCCUGUAACAGCCAAGUCAAUGGAAGAAUGGCUCCUUGCCGAUGGAUAUUCCAAGCACAAAGUGUCAAUUGAUCGGUUACUUCAGCUGAGAGUCUUCCUUGAAGUCAAUGAUAGAAAAAAGGAGACCAGUUACAAGAUGAACACGAAGUUCCAGAGUAAUAUGCAAAAAUACUUGGUAUUUGGUGGAACUUUACCGAGAGAGCCAAUGCCCUUAAGUGUCACUGUGAGAUUGCCAACGUUGGAGGAUCUAGAGGCCUACGCUCUAGAACAAUGGGAGUGCUUCUUGUUGCAACUUAUAAACUCAGCUCAAGCGGAAAGAUUAACAAGCUUCAGUUCAUCAUUGAUGAGAGUUUUCCAGCGAGGACUUUUGAGCGCAAGGGAAAAUGAAGCUCCAAAGUUAACAGAGAAUGGCUUCCAGUUCCUUCUGAUGGAUACAAAUGCACAACUUUGGUACAUAAUAAGGGAAUAUAUCUCUUCCUCUGAGGAUCGUGGAGUGGAUCCAACGGAUUUAAUAUGCUUUCUCCUAGAGCUUAGUUUUCAUACCCUUGGAGAGGCAUAUAAUUUAAAUACCCUAACUGAUGUUCAAAAACAUGCUAUCAAAGACCUUGCAGACCUGGGAUUAGUCAAACUUCAACAGGGAAGAAAGGAAAGUUGGUUCAUACCUACUAAGUUGGCUACUAAUCUUUCAGUGAGCCUAUCAGAUUCAUCAUCACGCAAAGAGGGUUUUGUAGUUGUGGAGACAAACUUCAGGAUGUAUGCCUACUCUUCAUCGAAAUUACACUGUGAGAUUCUACGCCUCUUUUCAAGGAUUGAAUAUCAACUUCCUAACCUGAUUGUUGGAGCUAUAACAAAAGAAAGUCUCUAUAAUGCUUUUGAGAAUGGCAUUACUGCAGAGCAGAUUAUUUCUUUCCUUCAGCAGAAUGUUCAUCCUCGGGUCGCAACAAAGACACCAGCAGUCCCAGAGAACGUCACAGAUCAGGUGCUUUUUCACAAUUAGAUUGUGGGAAACUGAUCGAAAUAGGGUUGAGAUGAUUCCUUCACAUCUUUAUGAAGAUUUUCCAUCAAAGGACAUCUUUGAAGCAGUAUGCGACUUUGCAAGGGAGAUUGGGGGAUUGCUGUGGGAAGAUUCAAAGAAGAUGAGGUUAGUUGUCCGAGGGGAAUACCACCAACACAUGCGAGAUUUUCUUCGUCAUCAAAAGUAAAGAUACAAUUCCUUUCUUCUGUGAAGGAAUUUGUUGAGAAGCCCAUCAACAGAAAUUUUGGUGAAAAGUAAAUUUGUUUAUAAGAUUGAGAAUCAUUAUAUUAUUGGUACAUGAGAUGUUUAAGAUCUGCUUAUGAUUAUUGUUCAGAUCUGUGAAUCCAUUAUCUGUCAAGCACGGGAUGUAUUCUUACUGUGUUUAUUUUCAUGCAUUAUGAGAAUCUGUGUCCAUGCGUCAUGUCAAUAUCAUGACAAUUUUUGUCUACUAUAAAGAGCCUAUGCUCUGAAUUCAUGUUUGGUGCAAAUUAUAUGACAAGUUUGCUUAACGCAGUGCAA
Molecule: RNA transcript, 2135 nt
Organism: Elaeis guineensis (African oil palm)
Lineage: Eukaryota; Viridiplantae; Streptophyta; Magnoliopsida; Arecales; Arecaceae
Gene name: general transcription and DNA repair factor IIH subunit TFB2
Source: RefSeq, a predicted model, not a curated record